This 642-nucleotide ribosomal RNA is filed under the name uncultured bacterium. RNAcentral describes it as "bacterial SSU rRNA". It matches the Rfam family "Bacterial small subunit ribosomal RNA", at positions 67 to 702 of the family's 1533-position model. The record is from RNAcentral.
CGGCAGCAUAAUCUUCGGAUUGAUGGCGAGUGGCGGACGGGUGAGUAAUAUAUAGGAAUCUGCCUUGUAGUGGGGGAUAACUAUCCGAAAGGAUAGCUAAUACCGCAUAAUGAUUACGGUUUAAAGCAGGGGAUCUUCGGACCUUGCGCUACAAGUUGAGCCUAUACAAGAUUAGCUAGUUGGUGAGGUAAAGGCUCACCAAGGCGACGAUCUUUAGCUGGUCUGAGAGGAUGAUCAGCCACACUGGGACUGAGACACGGCCCAGACUCUUACGGGAGGCAGCAGUGGGGAAUAUUGGACAAUGGGCGCAAGCCUGAUCCAGCAAUACCGCGUGUGUGAAGAAGGCCUUCGGGUUGUAAAGCACUUUUGUUAGGGAGGAUGGUGAUUUUGGCGAAUACCCAAAGUCAUUGACGUUACCUAAAGAAUCAGCACCGGCUAACUCCGUGCCAGCAGCCGCGGUAAUACGGAGGGUGCAAGCGUUAAUCGGAUUUACUGGGCGUAAAGGGUGCGUAGGCGGUUACUUAAGUCAGAUGUGAAAUCCCCGGGCUCAACCUGGGAAUUGCAUUUGAUACUGGGUGACUUAGAAUGUGGUAGAGGGUAGCGGAAUUUCUGGUGUAGCGGUGAAAUGCGUAGAUAUCAGAA